Vicugna pacos (alpaca) is the source of this 776-nucleotide non-coding RNA. NCBI's taxonomy places the organism in Eukaryota, Metazoa, Chordata, Mammalia, Artiodactyla, Camelidae. The record is from RefSeq and is a predicted model, not a curated record.
UAGGCCAGGCAGAGCAAGGCCUCUGGCCUCCAGGCCCAGGCAACCAGGAUGCUAGGGCCUGACUUGGCCUGUGCCUCCCCGACCUCCUGCCUCUGGGCCUCCUCUGCCCAGUUCAGGGCAUCCUUGGCCUUGCCAUCCAGAGUCUCCCCAGUGGGGCUCCAAGCCUCCCUGCUCCCAGGAUCCUCUCUGGCCCUGCGCUGAAGCUCUGGAAGUUAGGCCUCCACUCCAAAGCCUCUCGUAGGUUUUCGCCUGCUAUUGCCUGGAUCUAGAUGGGAGGCAGCAGCCUCUCUCAGGGUUUUUACAACCCAGGGCCUCAGACCCCUGGCCGAGGGGGUGCUUGCUUUUGGGCAGGAAGGCCCAGGAACUGGGGACCUGGGAGUGGGCUCCCGCAGGAAGUGCCUGGCUCCCGGGCCUAGGGUCCAGUAAAGAGUCCGAGGCUGGAGUGGAGUCAGGUGGCUGUGGGGUGCAUGUUGUGUGCUACCUGGGAUGCGUGCUGUCCCGGCACGUGGGGGUGCUGGUGGUGGUGGUGUCCUGUGCACCUGGGGAGAUUUUCGUGUGUACUUGGGCGAACACGUGAAGGCAGAUGUGGAGUCCACCGGUGAAACCAAUAUUGAGGAGAAAGAAGUGAAAGUGAAAAAUCCUGGAGCUUCUGGAUACUCCAGAUACUCACCCGAGGGAUAGCAGAACCAGGACCUUAGGUCAAUGCCCGCGCCCUGCUGGAACCCAACUGCAGGGGCCCAAAGGGGCCCGAAGUGCAAGGCUGAGUCUCCAGCCCG